Molecule: ribosomal RNA, 453 nt
Filed under: uncultured bacterium
Lineage: Bacteria
Description: partial 16S ribosomal RNA
Rfam family: Bacterial small subunit ribosomal RNA
Source: RNAcentral
AUGAACGCUGACAGAAUGCUUAACACAUGCAAGUCUACUUGAACUUCGGUUUGGGUGGCGGACGGGUGAGUAACGCGUAAAGAACUUGCCUCACAGAUAGGGACAACAUUUGGAAACGAAUGCUAAUACCUGAUAUUAUGAUUUUAGGGCAUCCUAGAAUUAUGAAAGCUAUAUGCACUGUGAGAGAGCUUUGCGUCCCAUUAGCUAGUUGGAGAGGUAACGGCUCACCAAGGCGAUGAUGGGUAGCCGGCCUGAGAGGGUGAUCGGCCACAAGGGGACUGAGACACGGCCCUUACUCCUACGGGAGGCAGCAGUGGGGAAUAUUGGACAAUGGACCAAGAGUCUGAUCCAGCAAUUCUGUGUGCACGAUGAAGUUUUUCGGAAUGUAAAGUGCUUUCAGUUGGGAAGAAAAAAAUGACGGUACCAACAGAAGAAGUGACGGCUAAAUACGUG